RNAcentral lists this unclassified non-coding RNA (240 nucleotides) under soil metagenome. Its description in RNAcentral is "partial contains 5.8S ribosomal RNA, internal transcribed spacer 2, and large subunit ribosomal RNA". The record is from RNAcentral.
AACCUAGCACACCUGCGGUGUGUACCUGCGGAAGGAUCAUUAAAAAGAGUGUGUACCCCUCUGUAAAAUGAGUGGGUUACCUCCCGUCCUUUGUUGACCUCUUAGGAGGUUAUUUUGAACUUUCUGCUUCGGUGGGGUUAAACCUACCGGAACACCCUCAAAUUCUUAUCAUUUAAAAAUUGUUCAGUCUGAUUUUUGUUAAUAAAAACAAAAAACUUUCAGCAAUGGAUCUCAGAUCGG